GACGAACGCUGGCGGCGUGCUUAACACAUGCAAGUCGAACGGUAAGGCCCCUCGGGGUACACGAGUGGCGAACGGGUGAGUAACACGUGGGUGAUCUGCCCUGCACUUCGGGAUAAGCCUGGGAAACUGGGUCUAAUACCGGAUAGGACCACUGCCUGCAUGGGUGGUGGUGGAAAGCUUUUGCGGUGUGGGAUGGGCCCGCGGCCUAUCAGCUUGUUGGUGGGGUGAUGGCCUACCAAGGCGACGACGGGUAGCCGGCCUGAGAGGGUGACCGGCCACACUGGGACUGAGAUACGGCCCAGACUCCUACGGGAGGCAGCAGUGGGGAAUAUUGCACAAUGGGCGCAAGCCUGAUGCAGCGACGCCGCGUGAGGGAUGACGGCCUUCGGGUUGUAAACCUCUUUCAGCGCCGACGAAGCGCAAGUGACGGUAGGUGCAGAAGAAGGACCGGCCAACUACGUGCCAGCCGCCGCAGUAA
This 478-nucleotide ribosomal RNA is filed under the name uncultured bacterium. RNAcentral describes it as "partial 16S ribosomal RNA". It matches the Rfam family "Bacterial small subunit ribosomal RNA", at positions 28 to 523 of the family's 1533-position model. The record is from RNAcentral.